Oryctolagus cuniculus (rabbit) is the source of this 2230-nucleotide long non-coding RNA. The record is from Ensembl. NCBI's taxonomy places the organism in Eukaryota, Metazoa, Chordata, Mammalia, Lagomorpha, Leporidae.
CACCUGCUUCACCUCCACUGCUUCCUCCUGCGCUUUCUUCCAAAAAGUGGGCUGAAGGGUCUUAGGAAUUGGCUUCAGACGUACCAGACAGCACCCGGGAGUUCUCUUGAAUGACCAUCAGAAAAAAUCACAAAACAAAACCAAAAGAUAUCCAAGCCUAGUGAAGAUGGGGGAUGUAACCCACGCGCCUGGAGCGUCUGCUGUGAUAGGAAGGUCACCUUGGCCGGCGCACACGCUGAUACCGAGGGAGUAGCCCUUAGUUGCAGACCCAUACUAGUAACAAGUCCAGCAUCCUGCAUGCUGUGGAAGCUCCGCUGGACUCCACGCUGUCAGGAGGAGGAAUGGGCUCACAUCCUCGCACUGUCAUUGGUGAGUCACUUAGCCUCCUGGUGUUUCCAUUUUCUCACCUGUGAAGUGGAGCAGAAAUACCCAUUUCACAGGUUGACACGAGUUUACUAAGAUAACCUAAGGGAAAAUGCACGGAGCCACUCUUGAGAAAUAUUUUCCAAGCUUUCUCCUCCACUUCCUGCACUGCAAGCAUUUAUACUAAAAGCGACCAGGAGAAAAGACUGAUAUAGUGCAGAGCAGGAGGACCCACGGGAGUGAUCUUAGUCAACUGAUGGAGGAGGCGUGCAGUGAAAGUGGCACACUCAGAGCGAUUCCCAAGGGACACCUUGCUACAACGAACACCCUGCUUCCAGCAACGACCUGGGAUGGACACACACGGGGCAGCUUGGAAAACUGAGGCCACAGACCGGUGCCUGAUAAAACGGUGAAGCAGACGACCAGAGGAAGGCUGGGGCAGAUCCGAUCCUCGCAGUUCUUGGCAGAGAGCUUGGCCGACACUCCGCAGAAAGGCAGGGUGGAGGGGUGGUGGGCUUUCGUCCUGCAAAUGCAUGCCAUGUCAGUCUGAGAACGGAGCCUGCUAUCAUACAUGCCUUUAACCCAGGAGCCUGUUUCGCACAUGCGUGGGAAGACUUGGGGGACGUAGGCCAGCGGGGCUACAGCCGGAGGUCAGGGAGCAGGGACUGAAGACCUCAGCAGAUUCUCCAAGCCUCACUAGGGCCAUUCUGGAGGCGCUCCCACCAGCUGGUUCUGUCUUCCACAGCGCUGUGGCUCCAGGAAGCUCGAGAAUAACACUGAGUCUGUGUGGCUUCCACCCUGCUGCAGGAAGGAUGGCUCUCCUCACUCCCGUGCUGCUCCUGCUCCCCCAGCCCCUGGAGCGGCCGCUCACCUGCUAAGUGCACUUGGACUCACUGCAGCAUUGCGGUGAAACCACCAGCCACGCGGUGGGGUAGGUUUAUGAGUAUGCUCUGUUGAGAUUUAGAAGGGCUACAUCACACAGCGAGGCAGGGCUAAUAGUCAAUCCAGGUCGCGCUGACCUCCAGGGUUAUACAUUUGUCCUGCUUUGCUGUGUGUGUUUGGGCUAAAGCCAACCCCUAGCAAGUAGUGUUAUUAAUUCUAUGGUGACAUUUUUCUCUUUGCUAAAAUUUCUGUUGUCCUUAUAAACUCUCUUGUGAGAAAGGAUUUCCACAGAACAGGGAGAGAAAGCUCUGGAACUGGGGUGACUCAACCCACAUUGUGACCAGUUCUCUAGUAACUUAACUGUCUUAUGUGUAUGUGUAUCAUAUUAAUUCCCUGGACGUCCAAGAUUAUGUCCUGUAGUUUUCUGUAGCACAUUGGAUUUUUAUAAAUAGUCACUGGAUUCCCUUCUUUGUCAUACUUCAUAUAAUUUGUGUAUUCAAGCUACAAACCAAUUUCCAUCUAAAUACAUGUAGAAUGCUCUGGUGAAGCCGGCCCAUGCGGGCAGGCCUUUGGCCUGGAAGUUGAUGUGCUGGUUGACAUCCACUCCCAGGAGUGCCUGUGUGCCAGUCCUCGCUCCACUCCCGAUUCCAGCUCCCUGCUAGGUGCACCCUCAGAGGCAGCAGGGGAUGGCUUGAGUACUUGGUUCCCCGACACCCACAUGGAAGACCUGGAUUGAAUUCUUGCUCCCUGGCUUUGGUCUUCCUCAGUCCUGGCUGCUGUGGGUGUUUUGGGGGAGUGAGCCAUCUGAUGGGAGCUCUGUGACUGUCUGUCUGUCUCUGCCUCUCUCUCUGCUUCUCAAGUAUUAAAUAUCUUACAGAGGUUGUGAAGUACUAAGAUUUUAAGUUACUGAUUUCGUUCUAUUGUAUUUUCAAGUACUCAUGAUUUAAUUAUAUAUACUUGACAAAUAAAUGUAGAUUUUUGUUCA